Aethina tumida (small hive beetle) is the source of this 73-nucleotide small nucleolar RNA. RefSeq annotates it as small nucleolar RNA U3. The transcript has a single exon. The record is from RefSeq and is a predicted model, not a curated record. NCBI's taxonomy places the organism in Eukaryota, Metazoa, Arthropoda, Insecta, Coleoptera, Nitidulidae.
AAGAUCAUACUUCACAGGAUCAUUUCUGUAGUAUAUCUCAUCGGGCAGUACCGCUCCACAAGCCAGUGGUGGU